This 909-nucleotide ribosomal RNA is filed under the name Humicola fuscoatra. Its description in RNAcentral is "eukaryotic LSU rRNA". It matches the Rfam family "Eukaryotic large subunit ribosomal RNA", at positions 1 to 940 of the family's 3401-position model. Lineage: Eukaryota; Fungi; Ascomycota; Sordariomycetes; Sordariales; Chaetomiaceae. The record is from RNAcentral.
GGUUGACCUCGGAUCAGGUAGGAAGACCCGCUGAACUUAAGCAUAUCAAUAAGCGGAGGAAAAGAAACCAACAGGGAUUGCCCUAGUAACGGCGAGUGAAGCGGCAACAGCUCAAAUUUGAAAUCUGGCUUCGGCCCGAGUUGUAAUUUGCAGAGGAAGCUUUAGGCGCGGCACCAACUGAGUCCCCUGGAACGGGGCGCCACAGAGGGUGAGAGCCCCGUAUAGUUGGACGCCUAGCCUGUGUAAAGCUCCUUCGACGAGUCGAGUAGUUUGGGAAUGCUGCUCAAAAUGGGAGGUAAAUUUCUUCUAAAGCUAAAUACCGGCCAGAGACCGAUAGCGCACAAGUAGAGUGAUCGAAAGAUGAAAAGCACUUUGAAAAGAGGGUUAAAUAGCACGUGAAAUUGUUGAAAGGGAAGCGCUUGUGACCAGACUUGCGCCGGGCUGAUCAUCCGGUGUUCUCACCGGUGCACUCUGCCGGGCUCAGGCCAGCAUCGGUUCUCGCGGGGGGAUAAAGGCCCUGGGAACGUAGCUCCUCCGGGAGUGUUAUAGCCCAGGGCGUAAUGCCCUCGCGGGGACCGAGGUUCGCGCAUCUGCAAGGAUGCUGGCGUAAUGGUCAUCAGCGACCCGUCUUGAAACACGGACCAAGGAGUCAAGGUUUUGCGCGAGUGUUUGGGUGUAAAACCCGCACGCGUAAUGAAAGUGAACGUAGGUGAGAGCUUCGGCGCAUCAUCGACCGAUCCUGAUGUUUUCGGAUGGAUUUGAGUAGGAGCGUUAAGCCUUGGACCCGAAAGAUGGUGAACUAUGCUUGGAUAGGGUGAAGCCAGAGGAAACUCUGGUGGAGGCUCGCAGCGGUUCUGACGUGCAAAUCGAUCGUCAAAUCUGAGCAUGGGGGCGAAAGACUAAUCGAAC